GGGGAAUAUUGGACAAUGGGGGGAACCCUGAUCCAGCCAUGCCGCGUGUGUGAAGAAGGCCUUAUGGUUGUAAAGCACUUUAAGCGAGGAGGAGGCUCUCUUGGUUAAUACCCAAGAUGAGUGGACGUUACUCGCAGAAUAAGCACCGGCUAACUCUGUGCCAGCAGCCGCGGUAAUACAGAGGGUGCGAGCGUUAAUCGGAUUUACUGGGCGUAAAGCGUGCGUAGGCGGCUUUUUAAGUCGGAUGUGAAAUCCCCGAGCUUAACUUGGGAAUUGCAUUCGAUACUGGGAAGCUAGAGUAUGGGAGAGGAUGGUAGAAUUCCAGGUGUAGCGGUGAAAUGCGUAGAGAUCUGGAGGAAUACCGAUGGCGAAGGCAGCCAUCUGGCCUAAUACUGACGCUGAGGUACGAAAGCAUGGGGAGCAAACAGGA
This 430-nucleotide ribosomal RNA is filed under the name Microvirga ossetica. Its description in RNAcentral is "partial 16S ribosomal RNA". It matches the Rfam family "Bacterial small subunit ribosomal RNA", at positions 356 to 777 of the family's 1533-position model. Lineage: Bacteria; Pseudomonadati; Pseudomonadota; Alphaproteobacteria; Hyphomicrobiales; Methylobacteriaceae. The record is from RNAcentral. RNAcentral also lists the same sequence under 1 other name.